RNAcentral lists this ribosomal RNA (497 nucleotides) under uncultured bacterium. Its description in RNAcentral is "partial 16S ribosomal RNA". It matches the Rfam family "Bacterial small subunit ribosomal RNA", at positions 28 to 507 of the family's 1533-position model. The record is from RNAcentral.
GAUGAACGCUGGCGGCGUGCCUAAUACAUGCAAGUCGAGCGAACGGACGAGAAGCUUGCUUCUCUGAUGUUAGCGGCGGACGGGUGAGUAACACGUGGAUAACCUACCUAUAAGACGGGUAUAACUUCGGGAAACCGGAUCUAAUACCGGAGAAUAUUUUGAACCGCAGGGUUCAAAAGUGAAAGACGGUCUUGCUGUCACUUAUAGAUGGAUCCGCGCUGCAUUAGCUAGUUGGUAAGGUAACGGCUUACCAAGGCAACGAUGCAUAGCCGACCUGAGAGGGUGAUCGGCCACCCUGGAACUGAGCCACGGUCCAGACUCCUACGGGAGGCCGCAGUAGGGAAUCUUCCGCAAUGGGCGAAAGCCUGACGGAGUAACGCCGCGUGAGUGAUGAAGGUCUUCGGAUCGUAAAACUCUGUUAUUAGGGAAGAACAUAUGUGUAAGUAACUGUGCACAUCUUGACGGUACCUAAUCAGAAAGCCACGGCUAACUACGUG